Salarias fasciatus (jewelled blenny) is the source of this 96-nucleotide long non-coding RNA. RefSeq lists it as uncharacterized. The record is from RefSeq and is a predicted model, not a curated record. The transcript has 3 exons. Lineage: Eukaryota; Metazoa; Chordata; Actinopteri; Blenniiformes; Blenniidae.
ACCUUGUAUCUGUGGGAUGUACGGCGCCAACAGCUUGCCUCUUUUCUUCUCAUAGCCUUUCUGAGUGAUGUCCCCUUCAGUCAGCUCUCAGCUCCA